RNAcentral lists this ribosomal RNA (450 nucleotides) under uncultured bacterium. RNAcentral's name for it is "partial 16S ribosomal RNA". It matches the Rfam family "Bacterial small subunit ribosomal RNA", at positions 338 to 795 of the family's 1533-position model. The record is from RNAcentral.
CCUACGGGUGGCUGCAGUAAGGAAUAUUGGUCAAUGGAGGAAACUCUGAACCAGCCAUCCCGCGUGAAGGAUGAAGGGGCUCUGCCUUGUAAACUUCUUUUGUCUGGGGCGAAAAAGCUCGAUUUAUCGAGAACUGACGGUACCAGACGAAUAAGCACCGGCUAACUCCGUGCCAGCAGACGCGGUACUACGGAGGGUGCAAGCGUUAUCGGGAAUCACUGGGGCGUAGGCGUGCUUGUACGGCAGAGGUGAAAGGCUGUGGCUUAACCAUGGAAUUGCCAUUGAUACUGCAGAGCUUGAAUGAGGUUGAGGUUGGCGGAAUGUGACAUGUAGCGGUGAAAUGCUUAGAUAUGUCAUGGAACACCGAUUGCGAAGGCAGCUGACUGGACCUAUAUUGACGCUGAGGCACGAAAGCGUGGGGAGCGAACAGGAUUAGAUACCCGUGUAGUC